GACGAACGCUGGCGGCGUGCUUAACACAUGCAAGUCGAACGGAAAGGCCUGCUUUCCCUUGUGGAUUGCGGGUACUCGAGUGGCGAACGGGUGAGUAACACGUGAGUGAUCUGCCCCCAACUUGGGUAUAAGCCUGGGAAACUGGGUCUAAUUCCCGAUAGGACUGCAGGGUGGUGCCUGUGGUGGAAAACGAUUUUCUAGUGGUUGGGGAUGAGCUCGCGGCCUAUCAGCUUGUUGGUGGGGUAAUGGCCUACCAAGGCGGCGACGGGUAGCCGGCCUGAGAGGGUGGACGGCCACAUUGGGACUGAGAUACGGCCCAAACUCCUGCGGGAGGCAGCAGUGGGGAAUAUUGCAGAAUGGGCGGAAGCCUGAUGCAGCGACGCCGCGUGGGGGAUGACGGCCUUCGGGUUGUAAACUCCUUUCGACCGCGAGGAAGCCACCUGGUUGGAAGGGUGGUGACGGUAGUGGUAGAAGAAGCACCGGCUAACUACGUG
This 494-nucleotide ribosomal RNA is filed under the name uncultured bacterium. RNAcentral's name for it is "partial 16S ribosomal RNA". It matches the Rfam family "Bacterial small subunit ribosomal RNA", at positions 28 to 507 of the family's 1533-position model. The record is from RNAcentral.